GAUGAACGCUAGCUACAGGCUUAACACAUGCAAGUCGAGGGGAAACGACAUCGAAAGCUUGCUUUUGAUGGGUGUCGACCGGCGCACGGGUGAGUAACGCGUAUCCAACCUGCCCACCACUUGGGGAUAACCUUGCGAAAGUAAGACUAAUACCCGAUGAUAUCCCUAGAAGACAUCUGAAAGGGAUUAAAGAUUUAUCGGUGAUGGAUGGGGAUGCGUCUGAUUAGCUUGUUGGCGGGGUAACGGCCCACCAAGGCAACGAUCAGUAGGGGUUCUGAGAGGAAGGUCCCCCCACAUUGGAACUGAGACACGGUCCAAACUCCUACGGGAGGCAGCAGUGAGGAAUAUUGGUCAAUGGGCGGAAGCCUGAACCAGCCAAGUAGCGUGAAGGACGACUGCCCUAUGGGUUGUAAACUGCUUUUAUAAGGGAAUAAAGUGGGUCUCGUGAGACUUUUUGCAUGUACCUUAUGAAUAAGGACCGGCUAAUUCCGUG
RNAcentral lists this ribosomal RNA (493 nucleotides) under uncultured bacterium. Its description in RNAcentral is "bacterial SSU rRNA". It matches the Rfam family "Bacterial small subunit ribosomal RNA", at positions 28 to 507 of the family's 1533-position model. The record is from RNAcentral.